This is a long non-coding RNA of Poeciliopsis prolifica (blackstripe livebearer), 436 nucleotides long. RefSeq lists it as uncharacterized. Lineage: Eukaryota; Metazoa; Chordata; Actinopteri; Cyprinodontiformes; Poeciliidae. The record is from RefSeq and is a predicted model, not a curated record. The transcript has 4 exons.
UUGGACUGUUUAGUGGCUCAAAGCCCCAGUCUGUUCUCUAUGUUAAUUAUGACUGUGAGCUGUUUACUGUGUCUGUUUGCUGCUCGGUGCUGAACUGCGGCGAGAAUAGAAGCGUCUGCCCCGCUGAAAACAUCUGGUGCCGCAACUGAAAGCAAAGCAAACGACUAGACUGGAAAGUUCAAGGUAUCCAGUGCAGGGAUCCUGCAUCUUUUCUGCAGGCGGUUUCCAUGGAAACGGGUGUGCUUCAGCCAAAGAGAGAGAGUGAAAAGGGGGCGCCCAGAGCUGACUUCCCGUACUGCUGCUGACCUCCUUCCAGGAUCCCUCGGUUUGGCCCUUAUUCAUGACUGUAUCAGAGCCCCAUCAACUUGCAACACAAAGCUACUCCCUUGUGUUAAAGUCUCCAAAUAGCCAGAUCAUUUGACAGAAGCAUAUGAAU